AGUGAACGCUGGCGGUAGGCCUAACAAAUGCAAGUCGAACGGCAGCACAGUAAGAGCUUGCUCUUACGGGUGUCGAGUGGCGGACGGGUGAGGAAUACAUCGGAAUCUACUUUUUCGUGGGGGAUAACUUAGGGAAACUUACGCUAAUACCGCAUACGACCUACGGGUGAAAGCAGGGGAUCUUCGGACCUUGCGCGAUUGAAUGAGCCGAUGUCGGAUUAGCUAGUUGGCGGGGUAAAGGCCCACCAAGGCGACGAUCCGUAGCUGGUCUGAGAGGAUGAUCAGCCAAACUGGAACUGAGAAACGGUCCAGACGCCUACGGGAGGCAGCAGUGGGGAAUAUUGGACAAUGGGCGCAAGAAGGAGCCAGUCAUACCGCGUAGGUGAAGAAGGACUUCGAGUUGUAAAGCACUUUUGUUGGGAAAGAAAAGCAGCAGGUUAAUACCCAGCUGUUCUGACGGUACCCAAAGAAUAAGAACAGGCUAACUUAGUG
Molecule: ribosomal RNA, 492 nt
Filed under: uncultured bacterium
Lineage: Bacteria
Description: partial 16S ribosomal RNA
Rfam family: Bacterial small subunit ribosomal RNA
Source: RNAcentral